AGCUGAAAGUGUAAAAUGUGAUAAAUAAAUAAAAGAAAAGAAAAGUUCAGUGCUUGUGGGUAUGGUGUGUGUGGCGAGAAAGAGAGGGAGAAGGAAAACCCUUCACCUUCAACUCAUCGCAAGAAAUUCAGCAAUUAAGUGUGUAUUAGAGCAAGAAUUGAAUGCAUGAGUCUAAUUCCUCUAUAAUCUAAGUGCAUUGAAUAUAAGGAUUGAAAGAAAGAGGAGCAAGUUCCGGAAAACAACAAAAGGCUCAAGAACGAGAUAAGUUUGUUUACUUCCUUGCUAUUAAUGUUUAGUAAAGCUCCUACUUAGAUGGCCACGCCUUGCUCGGAAUGAACAUUAUUCGCAACGCCUUCAACACGCUUCCGAACUAGUGUAUGUAAAUGGGUUAAAAUGUUUUGGUUAUGAUGUAGACUAUGUUUAGUUGUUUAAAAAGUUUCUCUAAAGACUUACUACUUGAUUCAUUAAAACUAUUAAACAUAUCAUAAUAAGUUUAUAAGACAUUAUUUUAAAGACUAUCAAUACAUCAAGUUUGACAUUGUGGGUUUACAUGACUAAAUCUAGUAGUUGAAAAUUGUUGCGGGUUCGGUUAAUGAUUUGAAAUUUGAAAUCGACCGAAUAAAUCUGGUAGUUUAUUAGAAAAAUAAAAUGGUUGAAAUAAUCCAACACUGGAAAUUG
This 678-nucleotide long non-coding RNA is filed under the name Helianthus annuus (common sunflower). The record is from RNAcentral. Lineage: Eukaryota; Viridiplantae; Streptophyta; Magnoliopsida; Asterales; Asteraceae.